UCUCGUCAGGCAGUCACCAGGAGUGGACAAAUUUGUGCUUCAGUCUUAACUUAAUGGUGUCCAUAGGUUAAAAAAAUACAUGUGAUCCAGAGAGUGUUUCCGUAAGAUGCUGAUUCCCAAUCCAGCAAACCACUUCAGGAUGUGAAAGUAUCAUUGUUUUCAUUUGUCAUUACCUGCUGUUUCAUACAGAAAGGGCCUACCUUGCACACCCACUACUACUGUGGGUCAGGGUGCUCUCUGGGUUUCCUUUUCUUCACAUAAACUAUCUCAUUAAGUAAAUAAAGAAGAUUGCUGAAGAACACCACCUGCUUUUCUGGUUUCAGUGGGGGAAAAAAAAAAUCACUUUUCUCCCCACAGCUUUUUUAAUCUCAUAAAUACAUCAUUUGAAUAGCGGAUUACUGCUCAGUUCCAGAUCAUAUUUUAUUUAAGUGUAUCUUAGGCUUUCAUUUUUGUCUUUUGUCAUAACUUCCUUGUCCCACAUUUAUCAAACAAAGCUUAACUAACAGCUCAUUUUUGUUUGUUUGGUGCAGUGUGGGUUUUUGCCAACCACAAACAUAAUUUAUUUAUUUAUUUGGUUUGGCAAAUGGUAAGGCUUUUUUCUCACAUAACUUUCCUUGCAGUUCUCUUUUACUCUUGCUAAACACAUCACUCCAUUAAGCAAUGAAGCCUGCUACCUCUAUAUACCCACCUCCCCCCCAAGGAUCACCUCAUUUAUCACAAAGAUUCAGCAGUGAAACAGUCAUCAUUUUAUUUUGCUGCUUUCUUCACGGGACUAAGAAGGAUAGUUUUAUGAGGUUGUUUGUGAAUUAGCAUCUAUAAUUUUCCCUUUGCCCUCUGAUCUCUCUGUCUGAGACCCUUGGCAAGAACAGAACAAAAUGAGUGGAAUUGAAUAUAAAACCAUGGGAAAUGCUGUGCCUGAAUUUGUUUGGCUCAACAGCUGGAUGAAAACAACUUAAGUGAUGUUAAGCUUAUUAAUACCACGUGAGAAUUAAGGAUUUCAACCAAUGAGAUAAUUAGCAUUUGUAUGCUCUGAAGCAAAUAGAGAAAACCAGGCUAACCUAGCUCUUCAUAAACACUGGUCCAGUUUAACGGGGUUAAUCCAAGCUUUGGAUGCUCACGUUUUGAUGCAGUAAACAGUUGAGCAAGUGGAUCCAAGAGGACCAGAACCAAUCAAGUCAGGUCUAAGCAAUCUCUGCCAGUGCAAAUUUUCUGAAGGCUGCAAGAAAUCAGCUUAUUAGCCUUUUUCUCAGUAAGAACACUGGCAUGGUGUCUGCAGGAGUUUCCUCUCUUAAACCUCCUGCUUUACAGUCUUAUUGAGAUAACUGUCACAUUCAAAACUAUUUAAGGGAAAGGGAAAACAAAUACUCAUACACUCAUACACUCACACGCACAGACACUCCCAUGUACACACACAGGGAACAGGAUUGCAUAAACUCCAUUUCCUUAGGAAGCAGGACUAAAAUUGAAGUGUUUACAUGAAAUAGCAAAGCAAAGCAGCCAAGGCUUUGGAAGGCUUUCAGCCAGAAUCUUGUCUUCUGUAAAUCAGUGUGGAGGGCAAUAGAGCAGCACCAAUUUGCACCAAUUUGGGGCAUCUGGCCCUUAUUCUUGACUAGUCCAUUGUAUAUCCAGUCUUUGCAAAAUGAAAAUGUCAGGUUUUUGAGACCAGGAUCAAAGAUGUGUUGGAAAGGACGUUUACUAGGGAAUUGAAAACCCACAAGGGAUAGAGCAUGAAGGCUAAAUAAUAUUAUUUUAAAGUAAUGGCUACAACAUUUUCAGGAAGCUUGCUUUCCCUGGAUACAUCCCAUUUUAAGGCAUCACUGUUCAGUCUCAUAAAGAAUGCUGUUGCUUACAAAAUAACCUCUAGUUCUUCUUGCUGUUUCCAUUACUGCAUUGAUCAAUUUGAAAUGUCUGUUUGCUUGACAUGACGGGGAGUGCAAAUGAUCUGAAAUGUGAUAUAGUGUUGCAAGAUGAUUUGAACCACUCUUUACAUCUUUCUUCCUUUUUUCAGAAGGAUGACAGUAAGCCAAAAGUGUAAAUGAAACCUGAUUUAGGGAAGCACCUACCACAGUUAUGGCCUGCCUUGAUUCAUUGUUAUGUGCAUUGGAAUCUGGCUGACCAAGAAGUGAUGGGAAUGUCUUCUUCCGAGAAGAUAUUUCAUAUGCUACAAAAUAGUUUAGAUUCAGCCAAGCUUCAGGAAAACAUAAAAUAGAGCUGACAUUAGCUCGAAAUCCAGGAUCCAUGCACCUUUAAAAUUCUGGAGAAGUUCAGGCAUGGAGCCUAACUUGGGCAUUUUCUCAGAUACUUCAUAACAGCAAAUUCAUGCUGAAAGUGCCUCUGAGGAACUUCAUGAUGUGACUGAUGCGCAUCUUCUGAACUGUUCUUCCUCCUGCAGGUGAUGCCACCAGCCUGAAAGAGCAUGAAACAGCCCUACUGUUGUUCAGUGCUCCCUUCACUGCUGUUUCCUCAUGAAUCCAAGUACUACGUCCACAAGAACAUCUUGUUGUCCACAGCAAUUAAAAAAUCCAGAAUGUACUAUGUGUUCCUUGGAUAGUGGACAACAGGCUGGAUAGUUCCAGAUAAGCAGUGAAAACUAGUAGUAGCUCUUCCGGUAUUGGUGUAAACCUGAUGGAAGAUCAGACUCGGACGCAAGAGAUUUAUUAAUCUGUUUUACCCAAAUGGCCACGGUUUCAAAAGGUCUUAAAAAACAUAGCAACAAUACAUUCCAACACUUCCCUCUGAUUAUGGGAAAGCACCCUGCUCUCCAAGCCUAGACUAAAAACUCAUCCCCCCAAGUUGGUCUUUUAAAUGACCUGUGAGGCCCCCAUCCUGCGAUAACACCACCCUGCCUUCCCCAGGCAGAUUCCUCUAUCUGCACGGCAGCCUUGGACUCUUUCUGGGGUUGUGCACGACCUCAGGGACCUAUCAGCAUGGAGCUCGCUGGAAGAUGGAUGGCUCCAAGAAAACUGAGGGAAGAGUCAGACUUGGUUGGAAAUGUUUAGCAGCUUCUCUUGGGAAAGCUGGAAAAAGCCUGAAUAACUGACAGGAACAGGAGCAGGCAUGGACAGAUCUCUAAUGCAAACCCUGGCUAAAUUUGAAUAGUCCUGUGGACGUCAGUAAACCACAAAGAAAACGCUGUCUUUUAAUAGUGAUCGUGAGCAUUUCUACAUGUGCUGAAUGUUUAAUUUGAGAUUCUUGGGUAAAUUUAUAGGUAUUUACUUUUUUCAGUGCAUGGGUAAGCUGCGGUAUUAUGGAGGAUUUGGCAGCUGAUUCUCUGCAGAUAACAGCUGCAGAUCUGGAUCCAUAACCUAGGAAUCCUGAUUACUAGAUAAUUGCUCCACAACGCAUCCAGAGCAUAAAAAAAAAAAAAACAAUAAAUCAUCUCUCUUUAAACAA
Molecule: long non-coding RNA, 3393 nt
Organism: Pezoporus flaviventris
Lineage: Eukaryota; Metazoa; Chordata; Aves; Psittaciformes; Psittacidae
Exons: 6
Source: RefSeq, a predicted model, not a curated record